This 781-nucleotide ribosomal RNA is filed under the name Cordyceps tenuipes. RNAcentral describes it as "LSU rRNA". It matches the Rfam family "Eukaryotic large subunit ribosomal RNA", at positions 109 to 922 of the family's 3401-position model. The record is from RNAcentral. Lineage: Eukaryota; Fungi; Ascomycota; Sordariomycetes; Hypocreales; Cordycipitaceae.
UYAAAUUUGAAWUCUGGCCCCCGGGUCCGAGUUGUAAUUUGCAGAGGAUGCUUCGGGCGAGGUGCCUUCCGAGUUCCCUGGAACGGGACGCCACAGAGGGUGAGAGCCCCGUCUGGUCGGACACCGAGCCCGUGUGAAGCUCCUUCGAAGAGUCGAGUAGUUUGGGAAUGCUGCUCAAAAUGGGAGGUAUAUGUCUUCUAAAGCUAAAUAUUGGCCAGAGACCGAUAGCGCACAAGUAGAGUGAUCGAAAGAUGAAAAGCACUUUGAAAAGAGGGUUAAAAAGUACGUGAAAUUGUUGAAAGGGAAGCGCCCAUGACCAGACUUGGGCCCGGUGAAUCACCCGGCGUUCUCGCCGGUGCACUUUGCCGGGCACAGGCCAGCAUCAGUUUGGCGCGGGGGACAAAGGCUUCGGGAACGUGGCUCCCUCGGGAGUGUUAUAGCCCGCUGCGUAAUACCCUGCGCCGGACUGAGGUACGCGCAUCGCAAGGAUGCUGGCGUAAUGGUCAUCAGCGACCCGUCUUGAAACACGGACCAAGGAGUCGUCUUCGUAUGCGAGUGUUCGGGUGUCAAACCCCUACGCGGAAUGAAAGUGAACGCAGGUGAGAGCUUCGGCGCAUCAUCGACCGAUCCUGAUGUUCUCGGAUGGAUUUGAGUAAGAGCAUACGGGGCCGGACCCGAAAGAAGGUGAACUAUGCCUGUAUAGGGUGAAGCCAGAGGAAACUCUGGUGGAAGCUCGCAGCGGUUCUGACGUGCGAAUCGAUCGUCAAAUUUGGGCAUGGGG